CAAGUCGAACGCGAAAGCUCCCUUCGGGGAGCAAGUAGAGUGGCGCACGGGUGAGUAACACGUAGGUAAUCUACCUUUGGAUUGGGAAUAACAACCGGAAACGGUUGCUAAUACCGAAUAAUGCAGCGGCACCUAAUGGUGACAGUUGUUAAAGCGGGGGAUCGCAAGACCUCGCGUCUGAAGAGGAGCCUGCGGCAGAUUAGCUAGUUGGUAAGGUAAUGGCUUACCAAGGCUAUGAUCUGUAGCCGGCCUGAGAGGGCGGUCGGCCACACUGACACUGACAUACGGGUCAGACUCCUACGGGAGGCAGCAGUCGGGAAUUUUGGGCAAUGGGCGAAAGCCUGACCCAGCAACGCCGCGUGAAGGAUGAAAUCCCUCGGGAUGUAAACUUCGCAAGAACGGGAAGAAUAAGUAAGGGUUAAUAUCCCUUACGAUGACGGUACUGUUUGUAAGCUCCGGCUAACUCCGUGCCAGCAGCCGCGGUAAUACGGGGGGAGCAAGCGUUGUUCGGAUUUACUGGGCGUAAAGGGCGCGUAGGCGGCCACCGCAAGUCAGUUGUGAAAUCUCCGGGCUUAACCCGGAAAGGUCAACUGAUACUGCGGGGCUAGAGUGCAGAAGGGGCAACUGGAAUUCUCGGUGUAGCGGUGAAAUGCGUAGAUAUCGAGAGGAACACCUGCGGCGAAGGCGGGUUGCUGGGCUGACACUGACGCUGAUGCGCGAAAGCUAGGGGAGCGAACGGGAUUAGAUACCCCGGUAGUCCUAGCCUUAAACGAUGAAUGCUUGGUGUCUGGGGUUUUAUAGUCCCCGGGUGCCGUCGCUAACGCUUUAGCAUUCCGCCUGGGGGAGUACGGUC
This 853-nucleotide ribosomal RNA is filed under the name uncultured Actinomycetes bacterium. Its description in RNAcentral is "bacterial SSU rRNA". It matches the Rfam family "Bacterial small subunit ribosomal RNA", at positions 58 to 887 of the family's 1533-position model. Lineage: Bacteria; Bacillati; Actinomycetota; Actinomycetes. The record is from RNAcentral.